Molecule: non-coding RNA, 190 nt
Filed under: human gut metagenome
Source: RNAcentral
UCGCUUGCGGUUGCAUGCUCAGCCAUGCAUGAAAAGGGAAUGUGGUGAGAAUCCACAGCAGUCCCCGCUACUGUAAGAAGGACGAACGCCCGGCGCUCCCCGUUUUGGAGCGCGGUUCCGCCACUGGGUUUUUCCCGGGAAGGCGCGGGUCAGUAGGAUGACUUCGAAGCCAGGAGACCUGCCGGAAGCG